AAGGCCACUCUUCUUGCGAUAAUCAUCCUCUCCGUGUGAGUCGAAGCUCUCACGUCGCAGAAGCAAGCUGAUCAAGACUGGCGGUAACACUGCUGCAAAAGACGAGGAUAUGCUACAAGAUAGUCAGAAGCUUGAAGAUAUCAUGCUGACAGAGGUGUGGCUUCCGACGAUCAAGGGCAAGCAAGAACAAGAAAACAUGAUGGCAAUGGUAGUAGACCAAGAAAAGGGUGCCUCAGUAAGAAAUGAAGGACGGGAAACCUCCGUUGGAAAGGAUGGUGUGAGGGUGAAUCAGUGCAAGGAGAAAGUUAAUCGGUUAGUUCUGCAUAACAUCGGUGAAGUGCGGGGAGAAGCAGAAGAGGGAGGAGACCUUGAGUUAGAGCUAGGAGAGGAGGUGAGUGGAGAUGUGCAACGAGAGCGCGCAAUGGAAGAGGAAAGUGAGGAGUGGGACCUGCCCACGGCCGACGAGCUGAACCGUCGUGUGGAGGACUUCGUCGCGAGGUUCAAUAUGGAGAGGCAGCUUGAGGAGGCAAGGAUGCUCGUGUGCUGCUACUGAUCAUUUUCCGAUCAACAGUCUUUGUAUUACGGUGAUAGUUUUAGAACUGUCUUAUGUAUCAUAGAUGUUACAUGAAUGUAAAUAAGUUAAUUAAGUAUGAUGUGGACAAUGUUUUUAAUGUGUC
Molecule: long non-coding RNA, 677 nt
Organism: Panicum virgatum (switchgrass)
Lineage: Eukaryota; Viridiplantae; Streptophyta; Magnoliopsida; Poales; Poaceae
Exons: 2
Source: RefSeq, a predicted model, not a curated record